CAAUAGCCUAUAUUAAAGUUGUUGCAGUUAAAAAGCUCGUAGUUGGGUUUCUGGUUGAAGCGACCGGUCGGGCGUUGAUUCGUCUGCACUGGAGUCGGUUUUGGCCAUCCUCUAGGAAAGUGCGUCUGGUAUUAAGUUAUCGGGCGUAUGAUCCUGGUCUUUUACUGUGAAAAAAUUAGAGUGUUUAAAGCAGGCCUUCGCCUUGAAUACAUUAGCAUGGAAUAAUAAGAUAGGACUUUGGUCUAUUUUGUUGGUUUGCAGACCGAAGUAAUGAUUAAUAGGGAUAGUUGGGGGUAUUUAUAUUCCGAUGUCAGAGGUGAAAUUCUUAGAUUUUCGGAAGAUAAACUUAUGCGAAAGCAUUUACCAAGGAUGUUUUCAUUAA
RNAcentral lists this ribosomal RNA (382 nucleotides) under uncultured eukaryote. Its description in RNAcentral is "partial 18S ribosomal RNA". It matches the Rfam family "Eukaryotic small subunit ribosomal RNA", at positions 592 to 976 of the family's 1831-position model. The record is from RNAcentral.